CAGGCAGGCCUCCUUGAGCUGUGGUGGGCUCCACCCAGUUCGAGCUUCCUGGCUGCUUUGUUUACCUACGGGAGCCUGGGCAAUGGCGGGCGCCCCUCCCCCAGCCUCCCUGCCGCCUUGCAGUUUGAUCUCAGACUGCUGUGCUAGCAAUCAGCGAGACUCCGUGGGCGUAAGACCCUCCGAGCCAGGUGCGGGAUAUAAUCUCGUGGUGCACCGUUUUUUCAGCCCGUCGGAAAAGCGCAGUAUUCAGGUGGGAGUGAUCUGAUUUUCCAGGUGCCGUCCGUCACCCCUUUCUUUGACUGGGAAAGGGAACUCCCUGACCCCUUGUGCUUCCCAAGUGAGGCAAUGCCUCACCCUGCUUCGGCUCGCGCAAGGUGCGUGCACCCACUGACCUGCGCCCACUGUCUGGCGCUCCCUAGUGAGAUGAACCCGGUACCUCAGAUGGAAAUGCAGAAAUCACCGUCUUCUGGCGUCGCUCACGCUGGGAGCUGUAGACCGGAGCUGUUCCUAUUCGGCCAUCUUGGCUCCAAAAUCCAGCCAUAUUUUGAGAUUCUCCUAUGUACCUGAAUCUUCAGAGAGCACAGGUGUCAAUGAAUGAGAAGCCAGGGAAUGGGUCCAUUGGCUUAUAAUAAAUAUUGAAAUGACUUGUAAAAUGUACUGUGAUUGUGACACGUGAUUAAAAAAGGAAAAUAUAAAUAUUUGUGUAAUUUCUCUCAAAAUGCCUUUAUACAACAAAGAUUAUACAUGCAAAAACUACAGAACUUCUUCUGAUCAUUGGAUAAAAGAAAUCUGUGAUGGAAGAUGGUCUGAGAUUAGGGGGACUCAAUUUCUUCCCUCAUGAAUAGAAAAUACAUUUACAUUAUGUCAUAUGAAAUUAUUGAACAGCUGCUUGGAAAGAGAGAAAAACAAGAACACCAGCCUGCCAAGGGGAUGCAGUGCUGACAUGAGAUCAGAUGCAUAGAGUAAACAGAAAUGGCAUUCAGGAAGGGUGAUAAGCAAUCAAGUAAAGACCAAAGUGAGAUGCUCUGACCUUAUAUUUAGCAUCCGUGCCAAAUUAGCAUAGCUGUGCAGUGUACUAGAAAAUUAAGUGGAAAAAAAGGACAAAGUAAGUGUAAAAUCAAAGCAGAAGUUGCACAUGUUUGGAAUAUCUAAAAUAAUUAUGCUCUUUCAUAUCCAGAGGGCUACACUGUGGUCAGCUCAUCUUUUCAUGGGGAGCCACAGGUUCAAAAGAAAAUACAAUGAGCUUGACCUAUACUAAUUAAACAGCAGCAGUUUACUCUCUCUGGGUCUUGGCCUAGAUGAGUCUGAGUGGUCUCGGGGUAAAGAGGUGACUUGAAGAGAGGAACAAAGAACCUUAGCUUUAUUCAUUAUGCUACCCUCAUUUUCUUUCCUGCUCAGCCACAGAUCAUUAACUCAGCAAGUUUUCUUUCCACACACCGAGAGACUGCUAUACCCAGUUUAACAUAUAUGGAGUCUUGUGAUUUGUCAGAAAGCUGCAAAGGUAGAAAAACAUGAG
RNAcentral lists this long non-coding RNA (1516 nucleotides) under Homo sapiens (human). Its description in RNAcentral is "HSALNT0208856". Lineage: Eukaryota; Metazoa; Chordata; Mammalia; Primates; Hominidae. The record is from RNAcentral.